UGAGGAAUAUUGGACAAUGGGCGAGAGCCUGAUCCAGCCAUGCCGCGUGCAGGAAGACUGCCCUAUGGGUUGUAAACUGCUUUUAUACAGGAAGAAUAAGCCUUACGUGUAAGGUGAUGACGGUACUGUAAGAAUAAGGACCGGCUAACUCCGUGCCAGCAGCCGCGGUAAUACGGAGGGUCCGAGCGUUAUCCGGAAUUAUUGGGUUUAAAGGGUCCGUAGGCGGAUGAUUAAGUCAGGGGUGAAAGUUUGCAGCUCAACUGUAAAAUUGCCUUUGAUACUGGUUAUCUUGAGUUGUAUUGAAGUAGGCGGAAUAUGUAGUGUAGCGGUGAAAUGCAUAGAUAUUACAUAGAACACCAAUUGCGAAGGCAGCUUACUAAGUACUAACUGACGCUGAUGGACGAAAGCGUGGGUAGCGAACAGGAUUAGAUACCCUGGUAGUCCACGCCGUAAACGAUGGAUACUAGCUGUUCGGGGCCUUGAGCUGCUGAGCGGCUAAGCGAAAGUGAUAAGUAUCCCACCUGGGGAGUACGUUCCGCAAGAAUG
This 546-nucleotide ribosomal RNA is filed under the name uncultured marine bacterium BY-66. RNAcentral describes it as "bacterial SSU rRNA". It matches the Rfam family "Bacterial small subunit ribosomal RNA", at positions 355 to 896 of the family's 1533-position model. The record is from RNAcentral. Lineage: Bacteria; Pseudomonadati; Bacteroidota.